GGGGGUGUAUUGGUUUUGACAGCAGAGGUCUUUGAAGGUGUAAGCAUGCCGGGCGUUGGGUAAUUAGCCCGUUAAUCUGAAUACUCAAAACACAAAUGGCAAUACUUCGUAUGCCAUGGCUGCCUAAUCAGUGAUUAGUUAGUCAUUUGGGCCGUCGCACGGGUUAGUCCCUGACCAAGUGCCACCGCCGACUUAAAAAGAAUAGGGAACGCUACUGCCAUAGGCUGUGCCGGUAGUCUAAGAACAUCCAGCUAAGGAGUGUGUUGGUUCGUCCUGGUCCUGCACAUCCCCGACAAAUAAUCCGGGAAUAAGCAUGUAGAAAGCUUUCGGAAAUCCUGUUUGGACACCAGUUCGAUCCUGGUCACCUCCACCU
This 373-nucleotide transfer-messenger RNA is filed under the name Chitinophagaceae bacterium. It matches the Rfam family "transfer-messenger RNA". From Rfam's summary of the family: Bacterial tmRNA, also known as 10Sa RNA or SsrA, is named for its dual tRNA and mRNA-like properties. Its role is to liberate the mRNA from a stalled ribosome. The record is from RNAcentral. Lineage: Bacteria; Pseudomonadati; Bacteroidota; Chitinophagia; Chitinophagales; Chitinophagaceae.